UUUGUUUCAGACAAAUAUUUCAAAAUAUUACUUUGUUUGUCCUAACACGAUUCCUUUGGAUCUAUCCCACUUCGCUAUGGACCUACCACAACAGCUCAAGGCCGUUACCCUCACACACGUCCGCUACCGUCGCGGCGAUCAGCUCGGGCACUUCCUCGCGUGGAUCUCCCUCGUCCCGGUCUUCAUCAGCCUCGGCGGAUUCGUCUCCCAUUUCCUCUUCCGCCGCGAGCUCCAAGGGAUCUUUUUCGGCCUCGGCCUCGUGAUCUCCCAGCUCAUCAACGAAUUCAUCAAAACCACCGUGGAGCAGGCUCGCCCCGAGACGUGCACCCUGCUCGAGGCCUGCGACUCGCACGGGUGGCCGUCGAGCCACUCGCAGUUCGUGUUCUUCUUCGCGACGUACUUUUCUUUGAUGGGGUGCAAAGGGAUCGGGUUCUGGUUCGGGUUGAGGAGCAGGUGGGUUCUGAAUCUGUUGCAUUGGUGUCUUGCUGUUGUGACUAUGUAUUCUAGGGUGUACUUGGGGUACCACACGGUGGCGCAGGUUUUCGCGGGGGCGGCGUUGGGGGCGGUUGUUGGGGGGAGUUGGUUCUGGGUGGUGAAUAGUGUGUUGUAUCGUUAUUUUGCGGUGAUUGAGGAGAGUAAGUUGGGGAGGAUGCUGUGUGUUAAGGAUACUUCUCAUAUUCCUGAUGUGUUGAAGUUUGAGUAUGACAAUGCUAGAGCUGCUAGGAACAACUCUAAGUCUGAUUGAUUUGGUCGGAAAAGCACUGUUAUAAGGCUCAAAUGAACAUGAAACUCACAAGAGCUUCUUCACACUUUUUAUUUUUUUACAUUCCUUUUUCAUAUUGACAUAUCUAUAUUGAAAGAUACAAUGCUUCAUAGAUUAAAUAGAAAAAUUAUUGGUCUGUGGUUUUAAGGAUUCACAAGCACGUCUUCAAUAGUCAAGAGAGAAAUCAUGGAAAGAGUUAAUAAGACUUAUGAUGCAUUACUUGAGUUCACAUUAGAAAAGGAAAAUUUUCUAGGUUGGUGUCUUUCCA
Molecule: RNA transcript, 1031 nt
Organism: Brassica rapa (field mustard)
Lineage: Eukaryota; Viridiplantae; Streptophyta; Magnoliopsida; Brassicales; Brassicaceae
Gene name: lipid phosphate phosphatase gamma
Source: RefSeq, a predicted model, not a curated record